CGCCAUUCGGCCGUGGCCAAUCUCUGCCUCCGUUCCGCGGGGAGCGGCCAAUGGGAGCUCGGAGCCCCUCAGCCAAUCGGGGAGCGGCUUCCCUCAGCGCUGCUCCCGCCCACCGCGCGCCUCAACCAAUCGGAGGGGAGAGUCCCGCGGAGCCGCUCCCGCCCGCCGUGCUCUCCUCAGCCAAUCGGAGAGGAGCAUCUCUCAGCCCACGGCGCGCGCCUCAGCCAACCAGAAGAGGCUCCCUCCCGCUCCCGCCCACCGCGCGCGUCUCAGCCAAUCGGAGGGCACGAAAAGGAGGGCGGGAUGCCCGUCCCGCGCGCCGUCCCCCUCCUCGCUUUUCAUUGGCCGCUCCAGCCGCCAAUCCAGCACCGCCCCGUCUCCCGACGCGCUUCAAAGCCCCGCCCCUUCCCGCUCCGCUCAGCCAAUAGGGAGGCGGUACCCGGCAGGGGGGGGCGUGCCCGGAGCUGUCAGUCACUCCCCGCUGCCUGGCAACGCGUUGCUUGGCGACGGCGGGCUGUUGCCGGGCAACGGGGCGAGUUGGGCGCGGCUCCGCGCAUGCGCAGACGAGACGGGACGCACGAUGUGCACCAGGAGGCGCAGGGAUGGAUGAUGCACAGGGAUGCAUGAGGCUGCAGGGCUUGCACGAGGAUGCACGAGGGUGCACGAGGAGGCGCCGGGUUGCACGACAAUGCACGGGUGUGAGCACACGAGGAUGCACCGGAGAGCAUAAGAAUGCAUGGGGUUGGGGGGCAUGAGGGAUGUGCAGCGUUGCACGGGGAUUCACAGGGAUGGAUGCACGGGGGGGCUGCGGGAUGCAAGAGGGGUGCACGAGGAUGCACGGCGGUGCACGAGGAUGCAUGCACGGGAUGCACGAGGGUGCACAGUGUUGCACAGCGUCGCACGAGGAUGCACGGUGUCGCACGAGGAUGCACGGGGUUGCACAAGGAUGCACGGUGUUGCAUGAGGGUGCAUGCACGAGGUUGCACAGUGUUGCACAGCAUCACACAAGGAUGCACGGGGUUGCACAAGGAUGCACGGGGGUGCACGCGCGUGCACAGCAUUGCACGAUGCAUGAGGAUGGAUGCACAGUGACGCAUGGUGGCUCAUGGUCAGGGUGCAAAAUGGUGCACGAGGGUGCCCGGGGUUACACGAGGAUGCACGAGGGUGCGUGGGGAUGCACGUGGAGGAUGCACUUGGUGCACAACGGUGCACGCGGACGGACGCACGAGGGUGCAGAGGGCGGCACGAGGAUGCACGGGGAUGUGCAAGGAUGCUCAGAGUUGCACGAGGUUGCACGGGGAGGCACGGGGAUGCACAAGUGUGCAGAGGACACACGGGGACACGUGUGGGCAGCCGAAGUCGCCCAGCCCGGUGCACACGGUUGCACGAGGCCGCGUGCCAUUGCACCAGGAUGCACGAGGAUGCAUGGCGAGGCACGGCGUGGCACGGGGAGGCACGAGGCUGCACGGGGAUACAAGGGCGUGCACGGGGGUGGGUGCACGAGGGUGCAAGAGGUUGCACGAGGGCGCAGAGCACACACGGGGACGGCUGCAGAGGGACACCCGAGGACGCCCAAAGCUUCACGGGGACGCCCGCGGGCUCACGAGGAUGCACGGCCCCGUGCACGGGGAUGCACGAGGAUGCACGAGAGGAUGCACGAGGAGGCCGGCUCGGGGCGUCCCCUCGGCUACGCGUAUUCUCCAGCAAUAACAGCGCGGCCGUGUUAUCCGCCCGAGAAUACCCGUCACCGCGGGGCGCGGGGGGGGCAUCCGGGGGGGGGGGGGUGGGGGGGG
Molecule: long non-coding RNA, 1793 nt
Filed under: Gallus gallus (chicken)
Lineage: Eukaryota; Metazoa; Chordata; Aves; Galliformes; Phasianidae
Description: lncRNA (ENSGALG00010029059.1)
Source: RNAcentral